GCCAAUAAGGCACGGCGUCAAGGGCUGUGGGCGAAGAGGUUGGUUGCGGGCAAACAGGUUUCACCCACCCACGCCCUUCGCCAUAGUGCCAAUGAGUGCCAAUAUGGCACGGCGUCAAGGGCUGCGGGCGAACAGGUUUCGUCCACCCACGCCCUUCGCCAUAGUGCCAAUAAGGCACGGCGUCAAGGGCUGCGGGCGAACAGGUUUCGCCAACCAACGCCUUUCGCCAUAGUGCCAAUAUGGCACGGCGUCAAGGGCUGCGGGCGAAGAGGUUUCGCCACACGCCAUACCCUUCGCCAUAGUACCAAUGAGGUACGGCGUCAAGGGUUGCGGGUGAAAAGGUUUCGCCCACCCACGCCCUUCGCCAUAGUACCAAUAAGGUACGGCGUCAAGGGCUGCGGGCGAACAGGUUUCGCCACACGCCAUACCCUUCGCCAUAGUACCAAUGAGGUACGGCGUCAAGGGUUGCGGGCGAACAGGUUUCGCCCACCCACGCCCUUCGCCAUAGUACCAAUGAGGGCUGGGGACGAAAAUGAGUUGCUUCCAAGCUCGGGGGCUAUGAGGCCACCCUAG
RNAcentral lists this long non-coding RNA (573 nucleotides) under Oryza sativa Indica Group (long-grained rice). RNAcentral describes it as "lncRNA OsLiXu_Ung0034130". The record is from RNAcentral. Lineage: Eukaryota; Viridiplantae; Streptophyta; Magnoliopsida; Poales; Poaceae.